Long non-coding RNA from Saccostrea cuccullata (small rock oyster), 2690 nucleotides. RefSeq lists it as uncharacterized. The record is from RefSeq and is a predicted model, not a curated record. The transcript is spliced from 2 exons. NCBI's taxonomy places the organism in Eukaryota, Metazoa, Mollusca, Bivalvia, Ostreida, Ostreidae.
CUUUUUGGCCUGUAGAUUGUGAAUUUUUCCCAUACUGUAUUUUAAGUUCCAUGCUUUUCUUUUACCACAAAAAACAAUCCAAUUAACUCGCCAUGUCUUAUCAAGAUUAAAUUACAUCAGAAUAUUUCUUUUUACGCGGCUUGCAAACAGACGGCCAUUAUAGAUCCACUCUGAGUCCUCUGUCCCUUUACAGCCUCUCUCCUCAAACUGCACCCGGAAGUUCAUCACGGACCAAGUCCCCGACAACGAGUCACCCGUUAUAAAAACUCGCUCAAUUACAAAGACUCGACUAUGAUUUGUAAAUCAGCUUGCAUUUUGUACAUUGUAAUGUAAAGUGGUGCUGAAUUGAAAAAAGAAUUUACGCAAUGUGUGUCAAUCGUUAUUUUUAUGAAAUUACUCGUAUUUAUUGUGUAAAAUUAAUUUAUACACUGUUAAAGUGCCAUUAAGGAUGUUUUUUUUCCAUAUACCAAAUUGAAGCAUGUCUCUUCAGGGCUAUUUUUGUACUGGUGUUAUACAAUUAUACAUUCAAAGAACAUAUUGUCUAUGUGUACACUGUAUGUUAUUCAUUAUUAAAAUAUUGUUUAACUAGAACUUUUGUCCAUUUAAAUGUUCUUAUGAUUAUUAUAGCUUUUAGAUGCACUCUUUCUUUGGGAUGAUAAUGUAACUUUUAAAAGUAUAAUGGUCAGUGGUAGCAGAAAAAAGUAACUACAACUUCUUGUUAACUUACUGUAAGCUUCAAGAAAUGCUAUAUUUUCUCUCAUAAACCUUAAGUUUUUAUUCUCAGUAAAUGAUGUUGCACAUUGAGAAAUUAAGGCAGAAUUUGGUACUGAUUAUAAAAAUACAUCAUUUAGAAUGAUUGGACUUUUUAUUAUUAAACACAUAUUGCUUUAGUAAAACAUGGGGUAUGGAUAUAUUGAGAACUUUUUGACCACUUAGCAAAAAAGCUCAUUCUAUCUAACAGAAAUCAAGUCUGAAAUAUUGUGUAAUAAAGUUAAAUUGAUUGCCUAUAAUGUUGGAGAUACUUAAAUUGUUUAUUAUUUAAUAUUUGAUCGUGUUUUUUUUCUAUUACAAAUUUUGUUUUCUUUAUUCAUGAAAACCAGAACAGAUAUAUUUUAAUGUGAUGAGUGUAUAUAUCAUUUUGUGUUAAUGAAUUCUUGACUGGAAGAUUUUGAAAUCAUGCCUACAUUUAUUCAUAUCUUAUUUUUAAAUCUUAAUUGUGAUCUGUGAUACUUGUACAUAAUUGUGAUUCAUUUGCCGGAGUUACUUAUGAUAUGACAUUUAUGAUUUUCAGUUUAAAAGGAAUUGAACAAUUUUGUUUGUUUUUAAUUUGAACACUUGGAAGUUUUUCCCUUUGAUUGCAUUGAAAAUGAAAAUAAAGCCUACUGCAAAAUGCUUUUUUCUGCAUGUAUCACAAGUUUUACGAAAAUAUGCCAAAACACUACUUUUUUUUUUAUUAUUUGCUUUUUCUGGGAUUGUUCAAAGUUUUAAUGAAGCACUCUAGUAUGUAAAAAUCAAUAACAGUUUGAUGUGUCAUUUAAAUUUGAUAUUUUGAAAUAUCAAAGGCUUACAAAUUUUAAGAAAGCAAAAACCAAUUUUUUAGAAAAAUUACUCAUUAUACAGUAGUUACUUACUUGAUUUUGCUAGUUUUUGAAUUUUUUUCAAUAAUCUUUGCAUAUAAUGACCUAAGCUUUAAACAUUUUGAAGCCAUAUCAUGAUUAUUUUUGCCUAAAUGUAACAAUCAUUAGAGAAUUUUUUUUAUGCAACUGUGUAUUCAAUCAAGUCCCAUAUAUAAAGUAACUCAUAACUAUGUAAAUAUGUAUAUUUUUAUUAUUUCUUUAGAUGUACAAUUCAAAAAUAUGCAUCAUUAUCCUUUAAAGACUGAAUAUUGUUGAGAACUUGAAUCAGAGGUCUUGUGAAAAUGUGUAUUUAAGCUAUGCACUUUUUAGAUUAAGGUGAUAUACUGAAUUAUGGAAGAUAAUUUUCUUUCUUAUGUGAAUGAAUUUGAUAAAUGCUUAUUAACUGUGUCGUAGCAAGAGUUUUUCGUUAUAUUAUUGGACUUUGGUUUUAGUUUUCACUUCAAGAAAAGUUGAAAAUGUGCUACAGAACUUAAUGUUAAGUUUCCAGGUAAUGCAUUUACCAUAGUCAUAAUUAUAGGGUUAUUUUCUAUAUAUAAUUUUAGAAGGAACAUAUAAAGCUUUGAAAAUUUUAAAAGAUUAUUUUGUAUUCUUUUGAUUAAUGGUUUGAGAACAUUUGCAAUAUAUAAAUUGAUUGAUAAAUGUUCAUAAACUAACGUUAAUUCAUAUACAUGUAUUAAGGUGUACACCAAGAUUUAGAUAUUUUAUUGUCAACUUAGACUGAGUAUUAUGGAGUAAUUAUUAAUAAUUAAUAAUUAAACUAAUCAGUUAAAAUAGGUAUUUGAUUCUAUUUAUAAUAUUCUUGAUAAUUUUCCUUUUUUUCUGAUUGACUCUGUUAUAUUCAUGGCAAUGUAGCCUUAUUUUCUUGUUUGUAUGCUUCAAAAGACUGGAAGUGCUAUGGAAACAAGUGUGAGAGUGAUUUUUAUUCAGUUUAAUUUCAUUUAAGAUUAGAAAAUAUAUUUUGUCUUAUCACUCAAGAUGCUUAUAUCUAAGUGUCAUUUGAAUUUAUAUUUUUGAAAUGUACUAUAAAAAUAAAACAAAAUCAUUGUACUUAAA